AACGAACGCUGGCGGCAGGCCUAACACAUGCAAGUCGAGCGCGCCUUCGGGUGAGCGGCGGACGGGUGAGUAACGCGUGGGAAUAUGCCCUUCUCUACGGAAUAGUCCUGGGAAACUGGGGGUAAUACCGUAUACGCCCUUUGGGGGAAAGAUUUAUCGGGGAAGGAUUAGCCCGCGUUGGAUUAGGUAGUUGGUGGGGUAAUGGCCUACCAAGCCGACGAUCCAUAGCUGGUUUGAGAGGAUGAUCAGCCACACUGGGACUGAGACACGGCCCAGACUCCUACGGGAGGCAGCAGUGGGGAAUCUUAGACAAUGGGGGCAACCCUGAUCUAGCCAUGCCGCGUGAGUGAUGAAGGCCUUAGGGUUGUAAAGCUCUUUCAGCUGGGAAGAUAAUGACGGUACCAGAAGAAGAAGCCCCGGCUAACUCCGUG
RNAcentral lists this ribosomal RNA (431 nucleotides) under uncultured bacterium. Its description in RNAcentral is "partial 16S ribosomal RNA". It matches the Rfam family "Bacterial small subunit ribosomal RNA", at positions 29 to 507 of the family's 1533-position model. The record is from RNAcentral.